RNAcentral lists this ribosomal RNA (877 nucleotides) under uncultured eukaryote. Its description in RNAcentral is "SSU rRNA". It matches the Rfam family "Eukaryotic small subunit ribosomal RNA", at positions 636 to 1469 of the family's 1831-position model. The record is from RNAcentral.
CGGUGUUCAACUGGCGUGUCCGCGGGACGUCCUGCCGGUGGGCUUAGCCCGCAAGGGCGGCCCAACUUCAAAUCCCAUCGCGGUGCUCUUCACUGAGUGUCGAGGUGGGCCGGCACGUUUACUUUGAACAAAUUAGAGUGCUUAAAGCAGGCUAAAACUUCGCCUGAAUACUGUGUGCAUGGAAUAAUGGAAUAGGACCUCGGUUCUAUUUUGUUGGUUUUCGGAACCCCGAGGUAAUGAUUAAUAGGAACGGAUGGGGGCAUUCGUAUUGCGACGUUAGAGGUGAAAUUCUUGGAUCGUCGCAAGACGGACAGAAGCGAAAGCAUUUGCCAAAAACGCUUUCAUUGAUCAAGAACGAAAGUUGGAGGUUCGAAGGCGAUCAGAUACCGCCCUAGUUCUAACCAUAAACGAUGCCAGCUAGCGAUCCGUCGACGUUCCUCCGAUGACUCGACGGGCAGCUUCCGGGAAACCAAAGCUUUUGGGUUCCGGGGGAAGUAUGGUUGCAAAGCUGAAACUUAAAGGAAUUGACGGAAGGGCACCACCAGGAGUGGAGCCUGCGGCUUAAUUUGACUCAACACGGGAAACCUCACCAGGCCCGGACACCGGAAGGAUUGACAGAUUGAGAGCUCUUUCUUGAUUCGGUGGGUGGUGGUGCAUGGCCGUUCUUAGUUGGUGGAGCGAUUUGUCUGGUUAAUUCCGAUAACGAACGAGACUCUAGCCUGCUAACUAGGCGUAUUUUCGACAUCUCAAAGGUCCGUCGUCCCGGCCCUCGGGUCGUGGGCGUGCGCGAUUUUUACUGUCGGCGUACUAUCAAUUCUUCUUAGAGGGACAGGUGGCUUCUAGCCGCACGAGAUUGAGCAAUAACAGGUCUGUGAUG